GAAUUCACUAGUGAUUCAGGCCUAACACAUGCAAGUCGAGCGGUAGAGAGAAGCUUGCUUCUCUUGAGAGCGGCGGACGGGUGAGUAAUGCCUAGGAAUCUGCCUGGUAGUGGGGGAUAACGUUCGGAAACGGACGCUAAUACCGCAUACGUCCUACGGGAGAAAGCAGGGGACCUUCGGGCCUUGCGCUAUCAGAUGAGCCUAGGUCGGAUUAGCUAGUUGGUGAGGUAAUGGCUCACCAAGGCGACGAUCCGUAACUGGUCUGAGAGGAUGAUCAGUCACACUGGAACUGAGACACGGUCCAGACUCCUACGGGAGGCAGCAGUGGGGAAUAUUGGACAAUGGGCGAAAGCCUGAUCCAGCCAAGGCGCGUGUGUGAAGAAGGUCUUCGGAUU
Molecule: ribosomal RNA, 395 nt
Filed under: uncultured bacterium
Lineage: Bacteria
Description: bacterial SSU rRNA
Rfam family: Bacterial small subunit ribosomal RNA
Source: RNAcentral